GGCUCUGCGACUAGUAGCCUCACCCCUUCGGCUAGGAGACCCCCCAGGGCGAAACCCCCACCACGGCCAGAAGGCAAGCGAGAGACCGCGGAGCCGCCGCCACCGACUCAGCCCAGCCCAGCAGGGGCCCGCCCAGGGGCCACUCCCCAAGGGAGGCAGCCAGUCAUUCGCCCGCCCUUCCGGGCCCGCUCCGGAGGGGACGGUCUCCCGCCCGCCCUCACACAGCUACCUCCUCAGGCCAGGCCCUCAGGGCUUCGUCCACCUCUCACCUUUGACGACUCGGGGCAUCUGCUAGAACAAACAGAAACUCCUCUCUCCCUGUCCUCCUGUGCCCAGAUUGCAGGGUAUAACUGCUUUGCCUCCAGUCAUCAUCUGGGGGCAUAUCUACUCUUCGAGGACCAGGGGCUCGAAACCCUGGAACAGGACCUGAAUUCCAAGCUGACCUCAGGGGUACACGAAGACUGCUUGACGAUCAGGGGUCCCCAACCCUGGAGCCACGGUCUGCUAUCUGUCCAUGGCCUGUUAGGAACCAGGCCACACAGCAGGAGGUGAGCAGCAGGGGAGCAAGCGAAGCUUCAUCAGUACUUACAGCCACUCCCCAUCACUCGCAU
Non-coding RNA from Delphinapterus leucas (beluga whale), 611 nucleotides. The record is from RefSeq and is a predicted model, not a curated record. NCBI's taxonomy places the organism in Eukaryota, Metazoa, Chordata, Mammalia, Artiodactyla, Monodontidae.